CACCCGCAGCUCUAGUGGUGGUCACUUUUAUUGAGCCUAAAGCGUUCGUAGCCGGUUCUGUAAAUCUUCAGAUAAAUUCAUUCGCUCAACGGAUGAUCUUCUGAAGAGACUGUAGAACUUGGGACCGGGUGAGGUUGAAUGUACUUCCGGGGUAGGGGUAAAAUCCUGUAAUCCUGGAAGGACAACCGGUGGCGAAGGCGUUCAACUAGAACGGAUCCGACGGUGAGGAACGAGGGCUAGGGGAGCAAACCGGAUUAGAUACCCGGGUAGUCCUAGCUGUAAACACUGCCCACUUGGUGUUGCCUCUCUGUUGAAGGGGGGCAGUGCCGGAGCGAAGGUGUUAAGUGGGCCGCUUGGGGAGUGUGGUCGCAAGGCUGAAACUUAAAGGAAUUGGCGGGGGAGCACCGCAACGGGAGGAGCGUGCGGUUUAAUUGGAUUCAACGCCGGAAAACUCACCGGGAGCGACCUUUGGAUGAGAGUCAACUUGAUGAGUUUACUCGAUAGAAGGAGAGGUGGUGCAUGGCCGUCGUCAGCUCGUACCGUAGGGCGUUCACUUAAGUGUGAUAACGCGCGAGACCCCCAUCUCUAAUUGCCAGUAUGUCUUUGCGGACAUGCGCACUUUAGAGGGACCGCCAGCGCUAAGCUGGAGGAAGGAGGGGUCGACGGCAGGUCAGUACGCCCCGAAUCUCCCGGGCUACACGCGCGCUACAAAGGACAGGACAAUGAGUUGCAACCUCGAAAGGGGGAACUAACCUCGAAACCUGUUCAUAGUUAGGAUUGAGGGCUGUAACUCGCCCUCAUGAAUGUGGAUUCCGUAGUAAUCGCGGGUCAACAGCCCGCGGUGAAUAUGCCCCUGCUCCUUGCACACACCGCCCGUCAAACCAUCCGAGCUGGUGUUGGAUGAGGGUAUGCCCGAGAGGACAAACUCGAAUCUGAUGUCAGUGAGGAGGGUU
RNAcentral lists this ribosomal RNA (953 nucleotides) under uncultured archaeon. RNAcentral describes it as "bacterial SSU rRNA". It matches the Rfam family "Archaeal small subunit ribosomal RNA", at positions 474 to 1429 of the family's 1478-position model. The record is from RNAcentral.